Molecule: unclassified non-coding RNA, 254 nt
Filed under: uncultured Myxococcales bacterium
Lineage: Bacteria; Pseudomonadati; Myxococcota; Myxococcia; Myxococcales
Description: contains 16S-23S intergenic spacer region
Rfam family: Bacterial small subunit ribosomal RNA
Source: RNAcentral
GACAGAGGGUGCAAACGUUGCACGGAAUCACUGGGCGUAAAGCGCGUGUAGGCGGAUUGGGAAGUCGGCUGUGAAAGCCCCGGGCUUAACCCGGGAACUGCAGUCGAAACUCUCAGUCUUGAGUGCCGGAGAGGGAGGCGGAAUUCCCGGUGUAGAGGUGAAAUUCGUAGAUAUCGGGAGGAACACCAGUGGCGAAGGCGGCCUCCUGGCCGGUUUACUGACGCUGAGACGCGAAAGCGUGGGGAGCAAACAGG